UCUUCGGAGAGUUUGAUCCUGGCUCAGGAUGAACGCUGGCGGCGUGCCUAAUACAUGCAAGUCGAGCGAACUGAUUAGAAGCUUGCUUCUAUGACGUUAGCGGCGGACGGGUGAGUAACACGUGGGCAACCUGCCUGUAAGACUGGGAUAACUCCGGGAAACCGGAGCUAAUACCGGAUAACAUUUUUUCUUGCAUAAGAGAAAAUUGAAAGAUGGUUUCGG
Molecule: ribosomal RNA, 222 nt
Filed under: Bacillus sp. CBEL-1
Lineage: Bacteria; Bacillati; Bacillota; Bacilli; Caryophanales; Bacillaceae
Description: partial 16S ribosomal RNA
Rfam family: Bacterial small subunit ribosomal RNA
Source: RNAcentral